This is a long non-coding RNA of Oryzias melastigma (Indian medaka), 794 nucleotides long. RefSeq lists it as uncharacterized. The transcript has 3 exons. NCBI's taxonomy places the organism in Eukaryota, Metazoa, Chordata, Actinopteri, Beloniformes, Adrianichthyidae. The record is from RefSeq and is a predicted model, not a curated record.
GGUCUGAGGCGCGGAGGUCGGGGGCUGGGGUUGAGGAUGUGUCUGGGGUUGGGGGUUAGGCUGAAUCUCAGGCGGCUCCUGCACGGGUUCUUUGGCCGGAAAGCUCGGGUUAGGUCGCUGUUGCGGCUGCUCCGGUUGUUGUUGUUGUUGCCGCUGCUGAUGCUGAUGCUGCUGCUGCUGGAGCGUCGGAGUUUGACCGACGGCUUUCCCCUUGAUGGAGUCUCCCGCUGAAGGUUUCGGUUGAGUCGGAUGUCCGGGAUAAGUCAGUUGAAAGGUUUUUCUGAGGGAUAGCUUACUCGUCUUUUGACCCUCGCUGGUUGAUGGGGUGAUUCGUAACGAACCGUUAAAAACGGAUGGAUUCUUCUGAACCGUCGGAGCUGAAGGAGUCUUGUUCUCCCCACCCUCCAGGACCUCUGUAAGUAACCAUGAACAGGGACAUGAUGUUAGAAGCGCGGGUGCCGUCUGGAUUUGUUGGACGCCGGCAGGAAAUGGUAGGUCUUAUACACGCUGAAAGUUCCGCGCUCAAUUUGAUAUUAUGUUGGUUAAGUAGUAAUACGUUGUCUCUCAAAUGGAUUCGGUAUCCGGUUUCUACCAUUAGCGGAGGUUCCCGUGGUCGCCCAGCUGUCAGGUAUUUUGUCCCCCCUUGCACAAAGAGUGAAAUACCUGCCCCACCACCACCCCCAACUCACACGAUGGUUAGAAGCACGGAUCGUGUCUGGAUUUGUUGGACGUCGGCGAUAAAUGUAUCCGGUUUCUACCAUUAGCGGAGGUUCCCGUGGUCGUCCAGCUGUCAG